This 492-nucleotide ribosomal RNA is filed under the name uncultured bacterium. Its description in RNAcentral is "partial 16S ribosomal RNA". It matches the Rfam family "Bacterial small subunit ribosomal RNA", at positions 29 to 507 of the family's 1533-position model. The record is from RNAcentral.
AGUGAACGCUGGCGGUAGGCCUAACACAUGCCAGUCGAACGGCAGCACAGUAAGAGCUUGCUCUUACGGGUGGCGAGUGGCGGACGGGUGAGGAAUACAUCGGAAUCUACUUUUUCGUGGGGGAUAACGUAGGGAAACUUACGCUAAUACCGCAUACGACCUACGGGUGAAAGCAGGGGAUCUUCGGACCUUGCGCGAUUGAAUGAGCCGAUGUCGGAUUAGCUAGUUGGCGGGGUAAAGGCCCACCAAGGCGACGAUCCGUAGCUGGUCUGAGAGGAUGAUCAGCCACACUGGAACUGAGACACGGUCUAGACUCCUACGGGAGGCAGCAGUGGGGAAUAUUGGACAAUGGGCGCAAGCCUGAUCCAGCCAUACCGCGUGGGUGAAGAAGGCCUUCGGGUUGUAAAGCCCUUUUGUUGGGAAAGAAAAGCAGCAGGUUAAUACCCCGCUGUUCUGACGGUACCCAAAGAAUAAGCACCGGCUAACUUCGUG